ACCUGAUCAGCCAUGCCGCGUGUGUGAAGAAGGCCUUUUGGUUGUAAAGCACUUUAAGCAGUGAAGAAGACUCUUCGGUUAAUACCCGGGGACGAUGACAUUAGCUGCAGAAUAAGCACCGGCUAACUCUGUGCCAGCAGCCGCGGUAAUACAGAGGGUGCAAGCGUUAAUCGGAAUUACUGGGCGUAAAGCGAGCGUAGGUGGCUUGAUAAGUCAGAUGUGAAAUCCCCGGGCUUAACCUGGGAACUGCAUCUGAAACUGUUAGGCUAGAGUAGGUGAGAGGGAAGUAGAAUUYCAGGUGUAGCGGUGAAAUGCGUAGAGAUCUGAAGGAAUACCGAUGGCGAAGGCAGCUUCCUGGCAUCAUACUGACACUGAGGCUCGAAAGCGUGGGUAGCAAACAGGAUUAGAUACCCUGGUAGUCCACGCCGUAAACGAUGUCUACUAGUCGUUGGGUCCCUUGAGGACUUAGUGACGCAGCUAACGCAAUAAGUAGACCGCCUGGGGAGUACGGCCGCAAGGUUAAAACUCA
RNAcentral lists this ribosomal RNA (529 nucleotides) under Psychrobacter sp. RNAcentral describes it as "bacterial SSU rRNA". It matches the Rfam family "Bacterial small subunit ribosomal RNA", at positions 381 to 903 of the family's 1533-position model. The record is from RNAcentral. Lineage: Bacteria; Pseudomonadati; Pseudomonadota; Gammaproteobacteria; Moraxellales; Moraxellaceae.